GAGGGUACAGCUCAGUGGUAGAGUGCGUGCUUAGCAUGCACAAGGUCUUGGGUUCAAUCCCCAGUACCUCCA
RNAcentral lists this transfer RNA (72 nucleotides) under Camelus bactrianus (Bactrian camel). It matches the Rfam family "tRNA". From Rfam's summary of the family: Transfer RNA (tRNA) molecules are approximately 80 nucleotides in length. Their secondary structure includes four short double-helical elements and three loops (D, anti-codon, and T loops). Further hydrogen bonds mediate the characteristic L-shaped molecular structure. tRNAs have two regions of fundamental functional importance: the anti-codon, which is responsible for specific mRNA codon recognition, and the 3' end, to which the tRNAs corresponding amino acid is attached (by aminoacyl-tRNA synthetases). tRNAs cope with the degeneracy of the genetic code in two manners: having more than one tRNA (with a specific anti-codon) for a particular amino acid; and 'wobble' base-pairing, i.e. permitting non-standard base-pairing at the 3rd anti-codon position. Lineage: Eukaryota; Metazoa; Chordata; Mammalia; Artiodactyla; Camelidae. The record is from Rfam by way of RNAcentral. RNAcentral also lists the same sequence under 3 other names.